This 440-nucleotide ribosomal RNA is filed under the name uncultured bacterium. Its description in RNAcentral is "partial 16S ribosomal RNA". It matches the Rfam family "Bacterial small subunit ribosomal RNA", at positions 338 to 795 of the family's 1533-position model. The record is from RNAcentral.
CCUACGGGAGGCUGCAGUGGGGAAUAUUGCACAAUGGGGGAAACCCUGAAGCAGCGACGCCGCGUGAGGGAAGAAGUAUUUCGGUAUGUAAAACUCUUUCAGCAGGGAAGAAAAUGACGGUACCUGAUGAAUAAGCCCCGGCUAACUACGUGCAAGCCGCCGCGGGAAUACGUAGGGGGCAAGCGGUAUCCGGAUUUACUGGGUGUAAAGGGAGCGUAGGCGGGUUCGGAAGUCUGAAGUGAAAUGCCGGGGCUUAACCCCGGAACUGCUUUGGAAACUGUGCAGCUAGAGUGCAGGAGAGGUAAGUGGAAUUCCUGGUGUAGCGGUGAAAUGCGUAGAUAUUAGGAGGAACACCAGUGGCGAAGGCGGCUUACUGGACUAUAACUGACGUUGAGGCUCGAAAGCGUGGGGAGCAAACAGGAUUAGAUACCCUUGUAGUC